This 374-nucleotide ribosomal RNA is filed under the name uncultured Glomeromycotina. RNAcentral's name for it is "LSU rRNA". Lineage: Eukaryota; Fungi; Glomeromycota. The record is from RNAcentral.
UUGAAAGGGAAACGAUUGAAGUCAGUCGUACCAGCGGGAAAUCAACCUUUCGAGUGGUGUUUUGGAGUUUUGAAGUGUGUCAAAACCUUUGAGAUUUUAAAAUUUUCGCUCUUUUGGUGUACUUUCUCGUGGGUAGGUUAACAUCGAUUUUGAUCAUCAUAAAAAGACUGGAGGAAUGUAGCUUCGAUCUUGUAUUGAAGUGUUAUAGCCUUUGGUAAAUGUGAUGAUUAGGAUCGAGGAUUGCAACGAAUACCCUUUUGGGCUAUCCGCCUGAUCUCUGAUACGUGACCUUGGUAUCGAAAGCGUGCUUAUGGUAUUGAGGUAUUACGGUCAAAAGGUUAGAACGGAUUACAUUCGUUAAGGAUGUUGACGUA